Molecule: ribosomal RNA, 423 nt
Filed under: uncultured eukaryote
Lineage: Eukaryota
Description: SSU rRNA
Rfam family: Eukaryotic small subunit ribosomal RNA
Source: RNAcentral
CAAUAGCGUAUAUUAAAGUUGUUGCGGUUAAAAAGCUCGUAGUUGGAUUUCUGCCGAGGACGACCGGUCCGCCCUCUGGGUGAGCAUCUGGAUCGGCCUGGGCAUCUUCUUGGGGAACGUGUCUGCACUUGACUGUGUGGUGCGGUAUCCAGGACUUUUACUUUGAGGAAAUUAGAGUGUUUCAAGCAGGCGCACGCCUUGAAUACAUUAGCAUGGAAUAAUAAGAUAGGACCUCGGUUCUAUUUUGUUGGUUUCUAGAGCUGAGGUAAUGAUUAAUAGGGAUAGUUGGGGGCGAUUCGUAUUAACCGGUCAGAGGUGGAAUUCUUGGAUUCGGUUACGACGAACUACUGCGAAAGCAUUUGCCAAGAAUGUUUUCAUUGAUCAAGAACGAAAGUGUGGGAGUCGAAGAUGAUUAGAUACCGU